GACGAACGCUGGCGGCGUGCUUAACACAUGCAAGUCGAACGGAAAGGCCUGCUUUCCCUUGUGGAUUGCGGGUACUCGAGUGGCGAACGGGUGAGUAACACGUGAGUGAUCUGCCCCCAACUUGGGUAUAAGCCUGGGAAACUGGGUCUAAUUCCCGAUAGGACUGCAGGGUGGUGCCUGUGGUGGAAAACGAUUUUCUAGUGGUUGGGGAUGAGCUCGCGGCCCAUCAGCUUGUUGGUGGGGUAAUGGCCUACCAAGGCGGCGACGGGUAGCCGGCCUGGGAGGGUGGACGGCCACAUUGGGACUGAGAUACGGCCCAGACGCCUACGGGAGGCAGCAGUGGGGAAUAUUGCACAAUGGGCGGAAGCCUGAUGCAGCGACGCCGCGUGGGGGAUGACGGCCUUCGGGUUGUAAACUCCUUUCGACCGCGAGGAAGCCACCUGGUUGGAAGGGUGGUGACGGUAGUGGUAGAAGAAGCACCGGCUAACUACGUG
RNAcentral lists this ribosomal RNA (494 nucleotides) under uncultured bacterium. Its description in RNAcentral is "partial 16S ribosomal RNA". It matches the Rfam family "Bacterial small subunit ribosomal RNA", at positions 28 to 507 of the family's 1533-position model. The record is from RNAcentral.